CCAAACUUGGUCAUUUAGAGGAAGUAAAAGUCGUAACAAGGUUUCCGUAGGUAAGUGGAAGCUUUCGAAUUUUUUUUGGUACUCUUCGGUGGGUGUUGCAUGAAUGCAAACAGUGGACGCGGACAAAACUGGUAGUUUAUCAAUUUAACCUACCACUUACCAUCUUUUUGUGCUCGAAUAACGUGCUGACUUUUCCCUUAUAGGUGAACCUGCGGAAGGAUCAUUACAGAGCGUUCACCCCCCCGUAAAAAGGGGGGCUAACCUCCCGUCCUUUGCUGGGUCCCCCUUCAUUGGGGGGCUUUUCAAAAUUUUCUGCUUCGGCGGGGCUACCUGCCGGAACAUCCUCAAAAAAAAUCUUUGGUCAAAAUGGUUCGGUCCGAGAAAUUUUUGUGAAAAUUGCGAAAAACUUUCAACAACGGAUCUCUUGGUUCUGGCAUCGAUGAAGAACGCAGC
Molecule: unclassified non-coding RNA, 453 nt
Filed under: uncultured fungus
Lineage: Eukaryota; Fungi
Description: partial contains small subunit ribosomal RNA, internal transcribed spacer 1, and 5.8S ribosomal RNA
Rfam family: 5.8S ribosomal RNA (bases 405-453)
Source: RNAcentral